This 288-nucleotide non-coding RNA is filed under the name Coprococcus eutactus. RNAcentral describes it as "T-box sequence". It matches the Rfam family "T-box leader". From Rfam's summary of the family: Uncharged tRNA acts as the effector for transcription antitermination of genes in the T-box leader family. T-boxes are found upstream of many aminoacyl-tRNA synthetase genes and some amino acid biosynthetic genes usually in Gram-positive bacteria. The record is from RNAcentral. Lineage: Bacteria; Bacillati; Bacillota; Clostridia; Lachnospirales; Lachnospiraceae.
UCAAAUGCUAUGACGAGGAGGAGUACAUGCAUCCCCCGAUCAACAGAGAGAAGACGGUGGUGAGAGUCUUCAUCAGGAAUGUGUGGAAGGUAGCCUUCGAGCAGUGGAUUGAAAGAUUGCAGCAUACAUAUUUGUCGGCUGUUGUCGAGUAGGUUUCAACGGUUUUCCCCGUUACAGGAAUAAGAUAUUAAUAAUGAUUACAGUGAUAAUUUAUUAUAGUAUCUGAUGAGUGCAGACAUUUGUCUGAAUUUAGGUGGUACCACGGAUAUGAACAUAUUCGCCCUAAGC